Daphnia pulicaria is the source of this 523-nucleotide long non-coding RNA. RefSeq lists it as uncharacterized. The transcript has 3 exons. The record is from RefSeq and is a predicted model, not a curated record. NCBI's taxonomy places the organism in Eukaryota, Metazoa, Arthropoda, Branchiopoda, Diplostraca, Daphniidae.
ACUUGACUUUGCUCGACAAGAAAAAUCAAGCAAGAAAAAAUGAAGAUGACUUUGUUCUUUCUUUUGUGCUUUUUUGUCUCGGCCACUUGGCAACACAACAUCUAUUGGUCCUACCCUCCAAGACGUGUUCCAUUUUAUUCCAUGUUCGACAAAAAUCUUCAAGAUAAUUUGCCAAUCCGGCUCAUUCCUUUGGACCCAACUGAGCUGCAAUAUUCAAAAAGAUACGGCUACCGACAUUUCGAACCGGAUGUCGUUGAACAACCCAUCCUUGCUGAGAAUUCUUUGGGAAUAAGUAACAUUUACCAUAGGAUGAAAACCAAUUUAGAACCGAAAACCUUUGGCUUCAACAAUUACUUGGCCAGUUUGUUCUUGAAUUCGCUGAGCGUCUCCACUACAGUCACUUCGGUCACUACUUCUGUAAUUACUGCUGCCACUGUGGUUACCUGCUAUGCCAAGACCAUGUUCAGCAAUGCAGCUCCUACUGCCUGUCGACGCAAGAGAGAUGCAGAUUCUAGUCUGUUGA